RNAcentral lists this long non-coding RNA (1035 nucleotides) under Chinchilla lanigera (long-tailed chinchilla). Its description in RNAcentral is "lncRNA (ENSCLAG00000026302.1)". Lineage: Eukaryota; Metazoa; Chordata; Mammalia; Rodentia; Chinchillidae. The record is from RNAcentral.
UUGACGCCUCUUCCCUGUCUGUCCCAGGCGGCUCACGGCUGGGGAGGUUCACUCCUAACACAAAGCAUCACUCAGCUAGUUUACCUAGGGAGCAGCAGAGCUGUGGGAAUGCAGCCCAAGGGCGCCUUGCAGGCUUUGUGUAUCUUCAUUGUGGGCCAGGAGCGCAAGGGUACAGAAACAGAAGAAACCCACCCUACCGGAGAAACUACCUUCAUCUGCUCGUUAAGCAGGCAAAUGCUGUCCCAAAGGGUGCUUGUUAGAGGUGUGAAACGUCAGGCAAGGGACAGCGCUUUGCGAGGUGAAAUGAACGCGAGAGUUCCCCAGAAUGAGCCGGCACGGUUGGCGCACACCGCCUCUCCCAGGCCUCCAGAGGGCGAGGCAGUAGGAUUGCAAGGUUCUGCCCAGCCCGAGCAAUUAACAAGACUCUUAGAAAAAGGACUGCGCACGUAGCUCUGUCGAAUGCCUUGGGUUUAGUCCCUAGUGCCUGUCUGUCUGUCUCUCUCACACACAGCUUUACCACUAUAGAUCUCCUAGAUGUAUAAAGUAACAAAUUCUGUUUAAAUAACUGAAGAAGCAGAGGUGGAAAGGAACUAGCAAACCAGGUGUUAAAAACUUGUUGACUUUCUCGUAGGUGGAAAAAUGUAAUUACACAGUGGUCUUAUGUUUUUGUAAUCAACAAAACCAAAAGAAAUACACGGUUGUGGGGAGGCCAGUAUGUAAAAUUUUAGUGUUCAAACCAACACACCUAGUCACAAGUGCUUCAGGUAGGAAUGGGGAAAACGUGUGUGUGGAAAUCGUUACCUUGCCCGGGAGGGAAACCACAUUUUAAGGUGGAUAAUGAUAUAUCCAACUAAUGUUUCCCUCCUGGCUUAAUUUUUCUUUGGGAAAGUUACAGAAAAAUCCGAAAGUUUCUGGGUGUAGAUACCACACAGUUGUAAGAAUAACUUCUCUUUAGAGACGCUGGCAAAGGAGACCAGUCCACACGGGAAGGGGUAAACCGAUGCGAUGACUCUCAUUAAAAAACAAACUCAAGCG